CCGAUCUUCUUGCGGACGGCGGAUUGGGUCGGGGCACGACGGCACCGUGACGUAUUUCCCUCUUCGGCGUCGACGGUUGGGCGAGCGGCGGCGCCCUUUAACAGGUCUUCGUCGGGUCCUUCGCCGGCGACGAGCAUCCACCAGAUUUUAGGCUUGCUAAUCACCAUGGCUCAUCAAAAGCGUGAAGGCAGCUCCACCGAUGAUGAUUGUGCAUCCAAGCGCCUGAAAGGCUCAGACACUGCUUCUGAAACGGGUUGCAAUGUAGAGGCUAGUGUUUCACAAGAAAUAGAUGCUGAAGCGACGAGAACCUGCCAAAGGGAAAGUGAGGCGCCAUCGAACAAAUGCGUUUCGGAUGGGAAGUCCGCUGUGGACUCUAAUGUUUCAGGCGAGCAAAAGAUGGUACUGACUGCUGUCGAGGCGGAUGCUGCGGAAGACAAGGGUUGCAGGCACACUAUGGAGGACGCCUGGGUGGUGCUCCCAAAUGCUGGUGCGGAAUAUCCAGGAAGUUUGAGGUGCGCGCAUUUUGCAAUUUUUGAUGGGCAUGGUGGUCGAUUGGCGGCAGAUUAUGCACAGAAGCACUUGCAUCAGAAUGUCAUCGCUGCUGGAUUACCACGUGAGUUGAUGGAUGUUAAAGCUGCAAAGAAGGCCAUAAUUGAAGGUUUCCGCCGAACUGAUGAAUCUUUACUGCAAGAAAGUACUAAACGAAAUUGGCAAGAUGGUGCGACAGCUGUAUGUGUUUGGAUCUUGGGACAGAUGGUUGUAGUUGCUAAUGCUGGAGAUGCUAAAGCGGUAUUGGCUCGUUCUAUUUCAACUGAUGGUGAAGGUGUCGUUGAUGAGACUAAAAGCCAGCUAAAGGCUAUUGUUUUGACAAGAGAACAUAAGGCCAUCUUUCCGCAGGAGCGCUCCCGAAUCCAGAAGGCUGGAGGUUCUGUUGGUUCUAAUGGAAGAUUACAAGGUCGUAUUGAAGUAUCAAGAGCUUUUGGUGAUCGCCAGUUUAAGAAGGUUGGAUUGAUUUCAACCCCAGACGUCCACUCUUUUGAACUUACCAAGAAAGAUCAUUUCAUCAUUCUAGGGUGUGAUGGCUUAUGGGGAGUAUUUGGACCAAGUGAUGCUGUUGAAUUUGUUCAGAAUCAGUUGAAGGUUCUUUCUAUUUCAGUAUCAGCGAAUCCAAAAUCCAGAUUUAGUCGUUUCAUUUCUCCAGUAUUUACCAGUUAGUAGGAAAACCAGAGAAUAUAAUCAGAAAGACACUGGUAGUAGAUCACUUGAUGAUUUGAUGUUUACCCAGUCUACGUAGCCUGUGUACAUGCUGGAGACCUCUUCAGCCUCACUUGCAGUACGCCGCCUCGUGAAGGAGGCUGUUCGUGAGAGGCGAUGCAAGGAUAACUGCACUGCUGUUUUAAUCGUCUUCAAGCACUAGAGACCUUCUGUAGACUGUGAAAGAAUUAGCUGACAACGAACAAUGUUUGAACUGAAGAUAGUUGAACAUGGAACUCUUGUUUUGUUUGUUUCUCUUUUUUUUUUGAAACUUUUGUUUUGUUUGUUUCUAUGUGGCCUAUUAACAAACUAUCCAUAUUCAUUUGAAAUUGGAAAUCAGACUUUGCAAUUUGGAGGGGUUGGCAGAA
This is an RNA transcript of Setaria italica (foxtail millet), 1622 nucleotides long. It is a transcript of the gene named probable protein phosphatase 2C 67, with no coding region annotated. The record is from RefSeq and is a predicted model, not a curated record. Lineage: Eukaryota; Viridiplantae; Streptophyta; Magnoliopsida; Poales; Poaceae. The transcript has 11 exons.